This 110-nucleotide small RNA is filed under the name Vibrio mangrovi. Its description in RNAcentral is "Qrr". It matches the Rfam family "Qrr RNA". From Rfam's summary of the family: This family represents a set of small RNAs (the Qrr RNAs) that are thought to be involved in the regulation of quorum sensing in Vibrio species. Lineage: Bacteria; Pseudomonadati; Pseudomonadota; Gammaproteobacteria; Vibrionales; Vibrionaceae. The record is from RNAcentral.
CGACCCUUUUUAAGCCGAGGGUCACCUAGCCAACUGACGUUGUUAGUGAAUACAAAUUUGUUCACAAUAAAUUACGGCCAAUCACCUUCGUUGUGAUUGGCUAUUUUUUC